UACGUAGGGUGCGAGCGUUAAUCGGAAUUACUGGGCGUAAAGGGUGCGCAGGCGGCCCUGUAAGACCGGUGUGAAAUCCCCGGGCUCAACCUGGGAAUUGCGCUGGUGACUGCAGGGCUAGAGUACGGUAGAGGGGGGUGGAAUUCCUGGUGUAGCAGUGAAAUGCGUAGAGAUCAGGAGGAACACCGAUGGCGAAGGCAGCCCCCUGGGCCUGUACUGACGCUCAUGCACGAAAGCGUGGGGAGCAAAUAGG
RNAcentral lists this ribosomal RNA (253 nucleotides) under uncultured bacterium. RNAcentral's name for it is "partial 16S ribosomal RNA". It matches the Rfam family "Bacterial small subunit ribosomal RNA", at positions 524 to 776 of the family's 1533-position model. The record is from RNAcentral.